AGCGAACGCUGGCGGCAGGCUUAACACAUGCAAGUCGAGCGGGCGUAUCAAUACGUCAGCGGCAGACGGGUGAGUAACGCGUGGGAACAUACCUUUUGGUUCGGAACAACACAGGGAAACUUGUGCUAAUACCGGAUAAGCCCUUACGGGGAAAGAUUUAUCGCCGAAAGAUUGGCCCGCGUCUGAUUAGCUAGUUGGUAGGGUAAUGGCCUACCAAGGCGACGAUCAGUAGCUGGUCUGAGAGGAUGAUCAGCCACAUUGGGACUGAGACACGGCCCAAACUCCUACGGGAGGCAGCAGUGGGGAAUAUUGGACAAUGGGGGCAACCCUGAUCCAGCCAUGCCGCGUGAGUGAUGAAGGCCCUAGGGUUGUAAAGCUCUUUUGUGCGGGAUGAUAAUGACGGU
RNAcentral lists this ribosomal RNA (404 nucleotides) under bacterium Ellin5094. RNAcentral describes it as "bacterial SSU rRNA". It matches the Rfam family "Bacterial small subunit ribosomal RNA", at positions 29 to 458 of the family's 1533-position model. The record is from RNAcentral. Lineage: Bacteria; Pseudomonadati; Pseudomonadota; Alphaproteobacteria; Hyphomicrobiales; Nitrobacteraceae.